CCUACGGGAGACAGCAGUGAGGAAUAUUGGUCAAUGGACGAGAGUCUGAACCAGCCAAGUAGCGUGAAGGAUGACUGCCCUAUGGGUUGUAAACUUCUUUUAUAUGGGAAUAAAAUGUUCCACGUGUGGGCUUUUGUAUGUACCAUAUGAAUAAGGAUCGGCUAACUCCGUGCCAGCAGCCGCGGUAAUACGGAGGAUCCGAGCGUUAUCCGGAUUUAUUGGGUUUAAAGGGAGCGUAGGUGGAUUGUUAAGUCAGUUGUGAAAGUUUGCGGCUCAACCGUAAAAUUGCAGUUGAAACUGGCAGUCUUGAGUACAGUAGAGGUGGGCGGAAUUCGUGGUGUAGCGGUGAAAUGCUUAGAUAUCACGAAGAACCCCGAUUGCGAAGGCAGCUUACUGGACUGUAACUGACAUUGAGGCUCGAAAGUGUGGGUAUCAAACAGGAUUAGAUACCCUUGUAGUC
This 460-nucleotide ribosomal RNA is filed under the name uncultured bacterium. Its description in RNAcentral is "partial 16S ribosomal RNA". It matches the Rfam family "Bacterial small subunit ribosomal RNA", at positions 338 to 795 of the family's 1533-position model. The record is from RNAcentral.